AGAGAAGGAAAGGAAUUGAAUAAUAUUUUUGCCAUCACCAUUGCUGUCCACGAGCCACCAAUGGUCGCUGCUUGUAGUGGUGAGAAAGGGUGAGCUGAACAAGAUGGCCGUCGGAGCUCUAACUUAUUGUCUUUUUUCAUGUGAACGGAGCUUCGAUCUGCUCUUGCUUUUUCGUCAGUCCCUGGCGGACAAACGGUCAUUGACGCUGCAUGCAA
Macadamia integrifolia is the source of this 215-nucleotide long non-coding RNA. RefSeq lists it as uncharacterized. The record is from RefSeq and is a predicted model, not a curated record. Lineage: Eukaryota; Viridiplantae; Streptophyta; Magnoliopsida; Proteales; Proteaceae. The transcript has 3 exons.